GAUGAACGCUGGCGGCGUGCCUAAUACAUGCAAGUCGAGCGAACAGACGAGGAGCUUGCUCCUCUGACGUUAGCGGCGGACGGGUGAGUAACACGUGGAUAACCUACCUAUAAGACUGGGAUAACUUCGGGAAACCGGAGCUAAUACCGGAUAAUAUAUUGAACCGCAGGGUUCAAUAGUGAAAGACGGUUUUGCUGUCACUUAUAGAUGGAUCCGCGCCGCAUUAGCUAGUUGGUAAGGUAACGGCUUACCAAGGCGACGAUGCGUAGCCGACCUGAGAGGGUGAUCGGCCACACUGGAACUGAGACACGGUCCAGACUCCUACGGGAGGCAGCAGUAGGGAAUCUUCCGCAAUGGGCGAAAGCCUGACGGAGCAACGCUGCGUGAGUGAUGAAGGUCUUCGGAUCGUAAAACUCUGUUAUUAGGGAAGAACAACUGUGUAAGUAACUAUGCACGUCUUGACGGUACCUAAUCAGAAAGCCACGGCUAACUACGUG
This 497-nucleotide ribosomal RNA is filed under the name uncultured bacterium. Its description in RNAcentral is "partial 16S ribosomal RNA". It matches the Rfam family "Bacterial small subunit ribosomal RNA", at positions 28 to 507 of the family's 1533-position model. The record is from RNAcentral.